This 463-nucleotide ribosomal RNA is filed under the name uncultured bacterium. Its description in RNAcentral is "partial 16S ribosomal RNA". It matches the Rfam family "Bacterial small subunit ribosomal RNA", at positions 28 to 507 of the family's 1533-position model. The record is from RNAcentral.
GACGAACGCUGGCGGCGUGCUUAACACAUGCAAGUCGAACGGACAGGCCUUUUCGUAGGUACUCGAGUGGCGAACGGGUGCGUAACACGUAGGUGAUCUGCCCUGCACUCUGGGAUAAGCCUGGGUAACUGGGUCUAAUACCGGAUAGGGCCGAACUUUUGAGUGUGAGGGGGAAAGAUUUUUCGGUGUAGUUUGAGCCCGUGGUCUAUCAGCUUGUUGUGGGAGUAAUGGCUUACCAAGGCGCCGACGGGUAGCCGGACUGUGGGUUUGGGCGGCCACAUAGGCUCUGAGGGGCGGCCCCGACAGCGACGCGAGGGAGCAGUGCGGAAGAUUGAACGAUCGGCGCAAGCCUGGUGCAGCGGCGCCGCGUGGCGGAUGACGGCCUUAGGGUUGUAAACUCCUUUCGCCAGGGACGAAGCGUUUUGUGACGGUACCUGGACAAGAAGCCCCGGCUAACUACGUG